CCUGUCAUCGUCUAGUGGUUAGGACACCAGGUUCUGAUCAAUCAAUCUCCUGGUAACCCCGGUUCAAACCCGGGUGACAGGU
Molecule: non-coding RNA, 82 nt
Organism: Puccinia graminis f. sp. tritici CRL 75-36-700-3
Lineage: Eukaryota; Fungi; Basidiomycota; Pucciniomycetes; Pucciniales; Pucciniaceae
Source: the annotation of a RefSeq genome assembly